CACCGGCGGCCCGAGUGGUGAUCGUGAUUAUUGGGUCUAAAGGGUCCGUAGCCGGUUUGGUCAGUCCUCCGGGAAAUCUGAUAGCUCAACUAUUAGGCUUUCGGGGGAUACUGCCAGGCUUGGAACCGGGAGAGGUAAGAGGUACUACAGGGGUAGGAGUGAAAUCUUGUAAUCCCUGUGGGACCACCUGUGGCGAAGGCGUCUUACCAGAACGGGUUCGACGGUGAGGGACGAAAGCUGGGGGCACGAACCGGAUUAGAUACCCGGGUAGUCCCAGCCGUAAACGAUGCUCGCUAGGUGUCAGGCAUGGCGCGACCGUGUCUGGUGCCGCAGGGAAGCCGUGAAGCGAGCCACCUGGGAAGUACGGCCGCAAGGUUGAAACUUAAAGGAAUUGGCGGGGGAGCACAACAACGGGUGGAGCCUGCGGUUUAAUUGGACUCAACGCCGGACAACUCACCGGGGGCGACAGCAAUAUGUAGGCCAAGCUGAAGACUUUGCCUGAAUCGCUGAGAGGAGGUGCAUGGCCGUCGCCAGUUCGUACUGUGAAGCAUCCUGUUAAGUCAGGCAACGAGCGAGACCCGUGCCCACUGUUACCAGCAUGUCCUCCGGGACGAUGGGUACUCUGUGGGGACCGCCGGCGUUAAAUCGGAGGAAGGUGCGGGCCACGGUAGGUCAGUAUGCCCCGAAUCUCCCGGGCUACACGCGGGCUACAAUGGAUGGGACAAUGGGUCCCUACCCCGAAAGGGGUUGGUAAUCUCACAAACCCAUUCGUAGUUCGGAUCGAGGGCUGUAACUCGCCCUCGUGAAGCUGGAAUCCGUAGUAAUCGCGUUUCAAUAUAGCGCGGUGAAUACGUCCCUGCUCCU
RNAcentral lists this ribosomal RNA (864 nucleotides) under uncultured archaeon. Its description in RNAcentral is "SSU rRNA". It matches the Rfam family "Archaeal small subunit ribosomal RNA", at positions 474 to 1337 of the family's 1478-position model. The record is from RNAcentral.